This 524-nucleotide ribosomal RNA is filed under the name uncultured bacterium. Its description in RNAcentral is "partial 16S ribosomal RNA". It matches the Rfam family "Bacterial small subunit ribosomal RNA", at positions 28 to 523 of the family's 1533-position model. The record is from RNAcentral.
GAUGAACGCUGGCGGCGUGCCUAAUACAUGCAAGUCGAACGAAGCUGUUUUAACUGGUGCUUGCACCGACUUAAACAACUGAGUGGCGAACGGGUGAGUAACACGUGGGUAACUUGCCCCAAAGCGGGGGAUAACAUUUGGAAACAGAUGCUAAUACCGCAUAACCACAGAAACCACAUGGUUUCUGUGUCAAAGAUGGUUUCGGCUAUCACUUUGGGAUGGACCCGCGGCGUAUUAGCUAGUUGGUAAGGUAGUGGCUUACCAAGGCAAUGAUACGUAGCCGAACUGAGAGGUUGAUCGGCCACAUUGGGACUGAGACACGGCCCAAACUCCUACGGGAGGCAGCAGUAGGGAAUCUUCCACAAUGGACGAAAGUCUGAUGGAGCAACGCCGCGUGAGUGAAGAAGGUUUUCGGAUCGUAAAACUCUGUUGUCAGAGAAGAACGUGUGCGAGAGUAACUGUUCGUGCAGUGACGGUAUCUGGCCAGAAAGCCACGGCUAACUACGUGCCAGCAGCCGCGGUAA